RNAcentral lists this long non-coding RNA (3210 nucleotides) under Solanum lycopersicum (tomato). RNAcentral's name for it is "partial TCONS_00136666". Lineage: Eukaryota; Viridiplantae; Streptophyta; Magnoliopsida; Solanales; Solanaceae. The record is from RNAcentral.
GGUACCACAAGAAUCUGUAGUUUACCGCAAAGUCAGUUUUUUUUUAAUAAUAUCAAAUAUAUUUACCUGCUCUUAACUACAUGGUCCCGACCGAGUUGAAGAUAUGACUCUAACAGUAUGCACAAAAAAUUUAUUUUUUAUUUUUAUUUUUGUUUGAAAAAUGAUUAUACCGAACCCAAGAAGGGUUGCCUACGUAUCUCAAUAAAUUGAGAAUCAGGUACGCGUAGUUCGACAGAUAUGACUUGGAAAAUAUGCACAAACUAUUUAUAAUUUUUUUUAAAAAAAAGAUAAUAUCGAACCCAAGAAGGUUGCCUACGUAUCUCACCGAAAUGAGAAUCAGGUACACGUAGUUCGGCCAGAUAAGGCUGGAAAAAUAUGCACAAACUAUUAAUUAAUUUUUUUUUAAUUUUUUUUUUAGAAAAAAAAUAAUACCGAACCAAGAAGGGUUGCCUACGUAUCUCAUUAAAAUGAGAAUCAGGUACGCGUAGUUCGACCAGAUAAGGCUGGAAAAAUAUGCACAAACUAUUAAUUAAUUUUUUUAAAUUUUUUUUAGAAAAAAAAUAAAUAAUACCGAACCCAAGAAGGGUUGCCUACGUAUCUCAUUAAAAUGAGAAUCAGGUACGCGUAGUUCGACCAGAUAUGGCUGGAAAAAUAUGCACAAACUAUUAAUUAAUUAUUUUUUUUAAUUUUUUAAUUUUUUUUAAAAAAGAAGAUAAUACCAAACCCAAGAAGGGUUGCCUACGUAUCUCAUUAAAAGUAGAAUCAGGUACGCGUAGUUCGACAGAUAUAGCAUAUAAGAAUUUAAAGAUUUAGACAAUUCAAAGAAAUUUUUAUGUCUAGCGCCACUAAAAUUUGUUUUCAUGAAAUGCUUUUUUUUAACCAAUAUGUUUUAUAGCAUCUUAAUCGUCAAUAUUUAUACUGUCUGUUGAAUGUACCCUACGAAUUUCUAUAGUAAUGAUUUGUUGUACUCUUUUUGGAUGUUUUCUUGGAUCUUUGUCUCCUUCCAUUUUUCACGAGAUCCAGACAUUGUUAUGACCAUCCCCGACUGCUGUCGGGGACGGUAUUCCUACAAAAAUAUGAGAAAUAUGUAAGAGGAGAACCGACAUGCAAAAUAAUAAUAAAAAUAAGUGGAUGCGACCUCAUAGUCAAAUACUUUCCUAAUUUAUUGUUUUGACUUGAUAUUAACGCCUUGUGAAAUACAAGGACUCGAAGUUCGUUAAUCCUCUUGUCUCUUGCGACUUCGGACAAAAAAUGAUUUCUGAAUUUGAACAUAAAUUAAUUUUCGCUGUAAAGAAGAGCAACUCAAAAUGUAAAAGUGUUAGUUCCUGUAAUUAAUAAAUAAUGCAAAAUAUCACACAAAUAAUGAAUAAAACACAAAAAUAUUGUUUUAAUUAAUGACAAAUUGAAUAUAUUACAUAGUAUACAAACAAUUAUUGCGCGUCCUAUACAAAUAUGUGACCCUUUUAUGCCUAGGGUAGGCCUAUCGAUUUGAAGGAUGUAUACGUCAUUUGAAAUAUUUCAUUGCCUCAAAACUCAAAUUUAUACAAAUUUUAUGAAUAAAACUUAAUGGGAAUACAUAAUAGGGGAAAUGUAUACAAAAUAAUUAAUCCCACGCAGGGGUACAACCCUAAACUAUGCCUCCACGAAAGAUCCUUCAGCUUUCUUGAUUUGUUGUCAUCUCUGGUACCAAUAUCUUCGAUUAGAUUAGUAGCUGGUGAAGCACUUUCUUUAACCUAAGCAAACUAUAAUCUAAUCCUUACUCUAUGAGACAAUGAUUUUCUCAAACAACGUAUACAUCCUUCGAAUUUAAACACAUAAGUAUGAAGGUCCUUUUAGGCCGUGGGCCAUUUUGGACUCAAGGUGGUCUUCUAAUGGGCACAACGCGCCUUGUGUGUUGGUCAUCUUAGGCUGAUGCUUAAAUUCGGAUUUGGUUUAGCUCUAUCCUAGUUGACUAAGAGUGGCUUUUGAAAGACCGGGAACCCAAGCGGACAACUUAGGCUGAAUUUCACGACAACCAUUGGACGCAUAACGAACCAAUAAAUUGCCGAUCAUUCCGAAAAAGGAUUGGGUAUUUUAAAAUCCGGUUGUGGUUCCGCAAACCAUCCUUUAAUACACUAUGCAUACAUAUUGGAAGAUGCCAUGAAUGCCAAUAAAAUAAAAAAUGUAUAUACACAAUAAAAUAAAUAAUGAAUAAACACAAUAACCAAAUAAUCAACAAAUAUAAAAAUACAAGGUAUAACAUAAUAAUAAAACAAAAAUUUCCUCAAUUUGAAAAAUUAAAUUCAUAUUGGUUAAAACCUCUAAACUCCCCAGCGGAGUCGUCAUUCUGUUUACAUCCCUACUCUGUUAAAAUAGGGUGAAACAUCGCGGCAACUUGAAAAUUAAUUAAUUGAUUCAAUUUUAACAAAGUUUUAAUAAUAAAUGAAUUUUUAAAAGAGUCACCACCUAAUUUUAGGAAAACUGGGAAACCAAUUAUUAAUCUACGAAACCAAAUUGAUUCUAGGUAAGGGGUUCAAGUCAUUCCGAAGGGAAGGGGUUAGGCACCCUUCGAAAUCCACAAAUGUGAUUACCGACUGAAUUCAUUUUUUUUUCAAAUUGAGGAAAAGAAAAUAAAAUAAUGUACAAAUAUAAUAAACACACAAUAUACACAAUAAAAUAAAAUAAUAAUCACCGGCCUAAGGUUUUCCUAACGUCAAUAUUUACAUAAUAAUGAAAUAAAAAUAUAAUUUGAACUUUUUCGAAUAAUUUCAAGGAAAAGCACCUCGGUGUACCUGUAAAGACACUUAGUAAAAGAGUUAGUGCCAAAUAAAUAUAACAAAAAAUGAAUAACUCAAAUAAUAACUUAAGAAUAAAAAUCCGUCUUAUUGACAUGGGAGGCCUUGGAAAUCGACGGUAAUUUCUUCAUCGGCCAAUUUCAACAACUAAAAAUAUAUAUAAACUUGAAUUAGAUAUCCGUCUUUUAAAAUGGGGAGGCCUCUAAACCCGACGGAUAGAUUUUUCAUCGGCCCUUUAACUCAUUUCAACUCAAAAUCUACGAGAUCAACAAAAUAAUAUAAUGUAAACUAUUGUUCAAAUAAAAUUAUCAUGGUAAAUACCGGAUCAAUCUAAGCAUAGCAACAUAAUACUUAUAGUAAUAACCUCAAGAAAAAUGAAACAUUAAGACAUACCCACUUCCUAAAUAUGCUAUACUAAAUUAGAAAAGUGGCAUCU